RNAcentral lists this ribosomal RNA (239 nucleotides) under uncultured bacterium. Its description in RNAcentral is "partial 16S ribosomal RNA". It matches the Rfam family "Bacterial small subunit ribosomal RNA", at positions 524 to 762 of the family's 1533-position model. The record is from RNAcentral.
UACGUAGGGUGCGAGCGUUAAUCGGAAUUACUGGGCGUAAAGCGUGCGCAGGCGGUCUGUUAAGACCGAUGUGAAAUCCCCGGGCUUAACCUGGGAACUGCAUUGGUGACUGGCAGGCUUUGAGUGUGGCAGAGGGAGGUAGAAUUCCACGUGUAGCAGUGAAAUGCGUAGAGAUGUGGAGGAAUACCGAUGGCGAAGGCAGCCUCCUGGGCCAACACUGACGCUCAUGCACGAAGCGU